Molecule: long non-coding RNA, 223 nt
Filed under: Elaeis guineensis (African oil palm)
Lineage: Eukaryota; Viridiplantae; Streptophyta; Magnoliopsida; Arecales; Arecaceae
Description: long non-coding RNA (EGUI_LNC061123)
Source: RNAcentral
CCCGUGUUCAUUGUCGGUCAGGAAAACUAAAUAGAGAAGAAUUUUUUGAGCACCAUCUAAUGGUUGAAAUCAAAUCCAUCGCCCGAUCCAAUGGUUCAUGUUCGAUCCGACUAAGAACUAAACUGAUUUGCAUUGAUCAACAUUCCAGAAUCAAUCUGAGGCAAGAUCAGAUAGCUGACAGUGAUGUCGACAUUGAUAAGGCUUGAUGCGAUGAUUUUUGGCA